AAAGGGGUGCUGGGUCCUUUCCCGGCUGAGACGGCGCGAAGCGAAGCGCCGAAACCCUCAAACCUGAUCCGGAUAAUGCCGGCGUAGGAAACAUCAGU
Molecule: non-coding RNA, 98 nt
Filed under: human gut metagenome
Description: TPP riboswitch (THI element)
Rfam family: TPP riboswitch aptamer (THI element) (bases 3-90)
About the family: Vitamin B(1) in its active form thiamin pyrophosphate (TPP) is an essential coenzyme that is synthesised by coupling of pyrimidine and thiazole moieties in bacteria.
Source: RNAcentral